RNAcentral lists this long non-coding RNA (276 nucleotides) under Zostera marina. RNAcentral describes it as "long non-coding RNA (ZMAR_LNC004013)". The record is from RNAcentral. Lineage: Eukaryota; Viridiplantae; Streptophyta; Magnoliopsida; Alismatales; Zosteraceae.
UAGUCCCCAAAGUUUGGAAUUAGCAAAAAAUAUCGCAAAUUUUUUGCAAUUUUUCAGCAGAAAAUCGUGCCGCCGGAGGUCGUUUUCGGGAUGCCUAUUUAGACCUUUCCCAGAAAAGAUUCCUUGCACUGUUGGGAAAUUCUGCCUUUUUGCACUUGUAGAGAAAACUUUUUUCACGUGAUGUGUGGUCGUAGAAUCCCAAAGUCAGAUCUGGGUAUUCCGGAGGUGGACCGACAGAAUCACUGGAGGUGAAAAAAGGUGAAAAGCCCCAUACUC